AGCUUGCUGCAUAAAUUAGUGGCAAACGGGUGAGUAACACGUGGGAAUCUACCUGGUAGUACGGAAUAACAAUUAGAAAUGAUUGCUAAUACCGUAUGGUCUCUUCGGAGUAAAGAUUUAUCGCUACCAGAUGAGCCCGCGCUAGAUUAGGUAGUUGGUAGGGUAAUGGCCUACCAAGCCAAUGAUCUAUAGCUGAUUUGAGAGGAUGAUCAGCCACACUGGGACUGAGACACGGCCCAGACUCCUACGGGAGGCAGCAGUGGGGAAUAUUGGACAAUGGGCGAAAGCCUGAUCCAGCAAUACCGCGUGAGUGA
Molecule: ribosomal RNA, 314 nt
Filed under: Anaplasma phagocytophilum
Lineage: Bacteria; Pseudomonadati; Pseudomonadota; Alphaproteobacteria; Rickettsiales; Anaplasmataceae
Description: bacterial SSU rRNA
Rfam family: Bacterial small subunit ribosomal RNA
Source: RNAcentral